UGGGAGGGCUCAAGGCCUAGGUCCACUGUUGGCUGGGUGUCAGGGUUGGACAGCUGGGCCCGGGCUGAGGGAGGCCAAAGGGCCCAGACAAGCAGCAGCACUACAUUUUCCCAAAGAGAGCCCACAGGGAUAAUAAACCAGGUCUAUUUCCCUGGCCCUAGUGAGAAUUCUGGAAAAAGAAUCAGUAAAAUGGGCCUGGCAAGGACAAGGACGACAGGAGGGCCGAAGAAAGGCACAGCGUGGAGGCCUGAGGUCUGGAGUUGGUGGGGUGGGGACCAGGACCCCAGCAAGGAGCCCAGGCUAGGGACCUAGAGCAGGGCCCAGGACAGGGGAGAACAGGGUAGCGGUAGCAUGGGGCCAGGUAGGAGGGCGGCACUAGGUUUCUGCAGUGCAGGGAACCCAAGGGGAACAGGGAAGCGGCCCAAGCAAGGGGCCCGCAGUCCAAGCCCAGGGACGCACAGAGCAAGAAGGGCCACCAGAGUGUCAAGCGAGCAGCCGGGCUUGGGAAUGCAGAGCCAAGGGCCAGGGCUGGGGCAGGGGGCUCAGAACAGUGGACACGGCUGGGGAGGGAAGGCAGGGGAUCCGGCAGUGGGGAGCCAUGCUCAAGUGACAGCACCACUGCCAGGUGUCAUGGUUUGGGUGCAGGACCAAGGGCCCAGGAAGAGCAAGGGACCCAGGUGAGGGGCAGGGCUCUGUUUCCCACAAGGUGCCCUGGCCCAGAUGAGAAUCAACAGGGCAACAGUAAAAUAGGAAGUUUAUCUACAUUGAACUCUUUCGCAGAGACUCUUUUGCUGACAGUCCUAAAAUCAGUCAUGGUGAAGAUUUCUGGAGAAGCCAGUUAAGACUUUUCUGUGGAGAGAGGGGGUGCCACUUCAAUACAAGGGGAACAGAGGGGAGGCACAGGAGUGGGCCCGAAAAAGGGGCCUGAAAUCAAGGGAAAGGGACAGGGUCCUGGAGAAGGGCAGCCUCAAGCAAGGAGCCAGGCCCAGGAAUAGAGAGCAAAGUGUGUUGGCCUGGGCAGGGGUCCCAUGAAAACAGACAGGACUAGGGAGGGGAGGGAGGUAAGAAUGGGGAGUGGGUGGCACAGGGGGAGGAGGGCUCAAGGCCCAGGUCCACUGCUGGGUGUCAGGGUUGGGAGCAGGGCUGGGCUUGGGGAGGCUAAAGGGCCCAGGCAAGGGGCAGGGCUCCGUUUUCUUCUAGGGAGCUACAAGGGCCAAGAAGCCAGGUCCACUCCCCUAGACCGGGUGAGCAUACUGGGAAAGGGAUAGGAAAGUGGGUCUGGCAGGGACAGGGACAAAAGGAGGGCCAAAGGAGGGCACAGCGUGAAGGGCCAGAGGAUGGUGCUCGAGGCUGGGGCCUAGGACCCCAGCAAGGAGCCCAGGCUAGGGACCUUGAGGAGGGCCCCUGCCAGGGGAGAGCAGGGAAGGACACAGCCAGGCAGGCAGGUGGCACUGCAGUGCAGAAAAACCAAGGGGAGCUGAGAAGUGGCCCAAGCAAGGGGCCUGCAGUCAAGGCGAGGGACGUGCCAGGCAACAAGGGCCACCAGAGGCUCAAGCGAGGAGCCAGCCAGGGAAUGGAGAGCCAAGGGCUGAGGCUGGGGCAGGAGGCUCAGGAGAGUGGACAGGGCUGGGGAUGGAAGGCAGGGCAUCCAGCAGUGGGCGGGAGAGGCAGGAUCGAGGACCAGGGCCGCUGCCAGGUGUCAGGGUUUCAGGUGCAGGACCAAGGGCCCAAGGAGAGCAAGAGGCCCAGGCGAGAGGCAGGGCUCUGUUUCCCAUAAGGCGCUCUGGCUCAGAUGAGAAUCGUGGGCCAGGGACCUGGCAAAAGGGGCCUGGCCAGGGAUAGGGGCCAGGAGGAGGGGAUGGGAGGGCUUGGCGGGGGUCAUGAUGGCUGCGGAGAGGGGUGAGAGCCAGGACUCAAGCAAGGAGCCCAGGCAAAGGACCCACCGGACCAAUGGUGAUGAGGGACCCUAGGAGCAGGGAGACUGCCCAGGGAGAAAGCCGGAAAGAAGAGAAGAAGCGGCGCGAGGACGAAGAGAAUGUGGGCAGGCAGAGCAAGGGGCACCUAUGGGAGUGUGGUAGGGGGCUUAAUCAAGGGGCCACCAGGUCCAACCCAACACGGACGGACACCACGCAACUCCACAGGACGCGACCAAUGCCGUCAGGGGCCCAGGCGAGGAGCCAGGCCUGGGGACUGGUUGGGGAGGGUUGGGUUGGGGUAGGUGCAGCUUGCAAGGCCGUAGGGCAGGAGAGUGGAUCGCCAAGGCCAAAGUCCACGCCAGGCCCAAGUCCACUGCCAGGUGUCAGGGUUUUGGCAUCAAAGGGGGCCCAGGUGAGGGGCAGGGCUGUGUUUCCCAUAGGGAGCCUUCGGGGCGCAGAGACCAGCCAAUUCCACUCCUCUGCCCCAGGUGAGUAGAUCCUCAGAGAGGGAUGGGGACCAUAGGAGGGCCAAAGGAGGGCACUGUGUGGGGAUACCCUGCUUCCUGGAGCUGGGGCGGGAGUGGCUGUGUGGGUGAGGAGCCAGAACCCAUUGGAGGAGCCCAGGCUAAGGAGAAGCAGGGGGAGCGUAUGUUAGAGUCUGUAAACAAGUCAAAAUAACACCUGGCAUCUUGCCAGAGGAAUGUUAGAGUUCAUAAACAAGUCUGGAUGGUGCCUGGCAAAAUGCCAGAGGGAGUGGUUUGAGAAGUAACAAAAGCGAGCCAUUAAGUGUGGAGAUUCCUUAUUGGUUGACUGAUGUAUCUAGUUUAUGCUAAUUAGAUAAGCUGUGUGGAAUGUAUAAAUACUGCUCCUGUCCUACAAUAAAUGGCUCCCACUCCUGCUGUAUCAACGUACACAAGUUAUUCGUCACCCCCCGGUUAUUCUGCCCAGCCAGCCCAACUCCGGCAGAUGGUGGCCCGUACCGGGAGUCCCGGGACACUCGGGGAAUGCUACAGGAUUUUCUUUAGCCAUCCGGAGUUCCUGCCUUCGUCCCAGUGCCAGUGAAAACGAGGGUGGAAGAAUUUCCAGUGUUGCUGAGAACCGGACAAAACUUCGGCUGAGAAACGGACGAGACUUCGGAGCUGUUGCUGUUUCUGCUGCUACAGUUUAGGCUAGCUGCCUGCAGAACUUACCUGGACUGUGAUUUAAGCUAGUUGCCUGCAGAACUUACCUGGACUGUGAGUUAAUCUAUUGAGACACUGCUUUACCUGGACUGAGACAACAAACUAUAAUCUACAACAAAUUGUAACUCGGUAUCUUUGCUAACAGUGUCAUUGCUGGUAUAAUUUUUCCAAGGGCUUCUUGCAUGGAGCCAUCAAUUGGCUUGGUAUUGUGGCAUUUUGUAUCCUCCCUUUCUGUUUGUAGCAGGUUAUUUAUGGUGUUUCUGUAAAAACCACUAUGGUUGUUAUUUAAAUUAAACAAAAGGGGGAAAUGUUAGAGUCUGUAAACAAGUCAGAAUAACACCUGGCAUCUUGCCAGAGGAAUGUUAGAGUUCAUAAACAAGUCUGGAUGGUGCCUGGCAAAAUGCCAGAGGGAGUGGUUUGAGAAGUAACAAAAGCGAGCCAUUAAGUGUGGAGAUUCCUUAUUGGUUGACUGAUGUAUCUAGUUUAUGCUAAUUAGAUAAGCUGUGUGGAAUGUAUAAAUACUGCUCCUGUCCUGCAAUAAACGGCUCCCACUCCUGCUGUA
This is a long non-coding RNA of Marmota monax (woodchuck), 3659 nucleotides long. RefSeq lists it as uncharacterized. The transcript is spliced from 2 exons. The record is from RefSeq and is a predicted model, not a curated record. Lineage: Eukaryota; Metazoa; Chordata; Mammalia; Rodentia; Sciuridae.